CCAGGCUAAAACUCUAGGGAACUCACCAGAAACCUUGCACUCACUUUUCUUUCUUUUCUUUCUUUUUCUUUUGGAAGGAUAUGGACUUCCUUCUUGUUGCCCAGCUAUGCAACCCAAGAGGGGGGGGUGAAUUGGGUUUCUAAAAAUUUUAAGCCCAACAGAUAACUUAUGAAGAACAAAACAAUGGCUUUAAAUCAAUAUUAAUUACCUAAAGCAGUAUUGCAAGGAUAUAAUAAAGAAAUAAGAUAAAGCGAUAAAGCACACCACAAACACAAGGAUUUAUAGUGGUUUGGUGCUAACCUUACACCUACAUCCACUCCCCAAGAUCCC
This 330-nucleotide long non-coding RNA is filed under the name Elaeis guineensis (African oil palm). RNAcentral describes it as "long non-coding RNA (EGUI_LNC071446)". Lineage: Eukaryota; Viridiplantae; Streptophyta; Magnoliopsida; Arecales; Arecaceae. The record is from RNAcentral.